Molecule: non-coding RNA, 2063 nt
Organism: Delphinapterus leucas (beluga whale)
Lineage: Eukaryota; Metazoa; Chordata; Mammalia; Artiodactyla; Monodontidae
Source: RefSeq, a predicted model, not a curated record
GCCUCUGCCCGCGCUCGGCUCCUUUCUCGCAGCGAGGGUGGGCCGGCGCCUGCAUCACCGUGACAUCACCUCCAUUGAGGAGCUUAUCGGGCGCCCGCGGCGCUCCAGUUCCUAGAACUGCCGGCUUGGAGCAGCCUGAUACCACCUGGCAUUUUGAGAGGACCCAGGUACCAAGGUGGCCCCUUAAGAAGCAGGAAGCCAGGGGCCAGGGAGCAGCCCGCUGUGGUCACGUCCUCUCUGUGCACAGUGCAGCCUGCCCACCUUCAGGACGGCUCUGCCCUUCAUCAGCCUCGCCAGCCACCAGCCUAGAUCACCCAAAGCCUUCAAAAGACACGGUCUCUGCCCCCACCCCUUCGCCUGGGAUUUGAGGGCACCCUGAGGGUCCUCUCAAACUCAGCCAGGACCCCAAGGGGACAGGGGGAGAGUCAGGGUGCCACGGGAGACCAGAAUUGCCUGCACUGACCAGAGAUGGCACCUCCAGCAGGGCAGUGCCAGCCAGCUGGCAUCUGGGUGGAGUUCGGUCCCAGCUGUUCCGGCCGCUGCUUGAGGCUCGACUCCAGCUCCGUUGCCGGAAGCCCAGCUGCUGCGGUGCAGCCCGAGGCUGCUGGGAACCGAGCUGCGCUAUUCUGGGACUGUGAUGGAGCUCCGGGACGCCUGGCAGCAGCUGAAAUUUCAGCCCCUUUGGUAGACGUGCUGUUUGCUUUCCCUCCGAUGAUAAGGCAGAGUUCAAAUCAUCCCACAAAGUUCAGAACCACUGAUGGUGCAUCUGAGUGUCUUAAUAGCAGUUGUGGUUUUGCUAAAGUGGGGACUGGCCAUAAACAAUCUGUACUUCAGCCCUUGGAUACAGCAGCCUUCAUUCUUGCUGUCACUCACACCACACAACCUGUAGUCAUUUUCCUUUAGCUUUACAGUUUGUCCUCAUACCCACUCUGCCACAUUAACCCAUCCACUGGCAUUCUGGUGCAGUCCCUCAAAUUUAAAUCCAAUGAUGGAUUUCCUCUGAGAGCCUUCUCCCUCCCUCCCUCCCUCCCUCCCUUCCUCCCUCCCUUCCUUCCUUCCUUCUUAAAUUGAGAUGGGAAGAUCUGAUUCUGCAGUGCAAACAAUCAAGUAUGAAGACUGAGUUUGGGUGACAAAAGACUAGGGUCAUAAUCAAACCCAAUUUACAACAAAGUUAAGCCCCCGUGAUUAACCUGUUUUGGGAGAGCCCUCAGAGAAGCCCCCUGAGAUGAUGCCUGGUUUUAUUAUCCUCAUGCGGGAACUGGAGGCCAAGUUGGGAAGAGAGCCUACUUAAGGUCACAAGUGAUGGACGUAAAGCUUAGGCCCGGUGUUUUGAUCUCCUGCCAUGAAAUCAUAGAGUUUUAGAGCUGGAAAGGGCAACAGAGUUGUCCAAAGCGCACAGAACUUGCUCAUCUGUAAAAUGAGGUGAUAAUCCCUGCCCCUCUUCCCCUGUUGAUUGCUGCAGAGGUUCCAUGAAACCACGGAUCUGAGAACCCUUGGCUGGAGUGACCAGUGAUUUGGGACCUUCCGGUCCCAGUCUCGUCUUCCUCCACUGCCAGUCUGUGUAGGGAGAAAGCAACUCACAAAAAUGGAAACAAGCUGGUCCUUAGGCUUUCCCAAACUUCAGCGCACAGCUCCAGGGUCAGUUGUUGUGUUUGUUUAAAAAGCAGAUUUCUCGGUUCCAUUCUGGGCUAUGGAAUUUGAGUCUCUAGCCAAGAAGAAGCCUAAGUGGCUGUUUGUAAAAAUCCCCUCUCCCCACUGCCAAAUAUGAUUAAUGAUGCACACUGCCCUUGAGAACCAAGGUCAAACCAAGAAUUAUUCAAGUCACCUAUGAGGAGAGGAAGGUGGAAAAACACAACUGGCGCGGAUGGCCAGUGAAGGAUUCUGUGUCGUCGCAGCCAGGUGGGCAGCUUCCCUGCUUUUUGGGGAAUGAGGGCCAUUGGAGGAUGAGCGUAUUAGGGGAACCACUGGCCGAAGCCACCUGCCCUGACCAGGCAAGAUAGUAAUCACUUGCAUGAGUUCUCUUAUAACAGGAGGUCCUGGUAAGGAACGUGGAACUAACAAGC